This 248-nucleotide long non-coding RNA is filed under the name Phoenix dactylifera (date palm). RNAcentral describes it as "long non-coding RNA (PDAC_LNC019473)". The record is from RNAcentral. Lineage: Eukaryota; Viridiplantae; Streptophyta; Magnoliopsida; Arecales; Arecaceae.
CAGCAAAUGCUUUUUCCAUCUCCGUAAGCCAAUUGUCUGCUUCCAAAGGUUCUGUAGUCCCCUGAAAAGCUGGAGGAGCCAGCCUCUUAAAUUCAGCUAUGCUGCUACGAUGUUCACACUGUUCCCCUCGUCCUUGUUGAGGCUGUGUCUGGAGCAACUGCUGUUGCACCUGCUGUUGCAUUUGCAUGAGGCCCACCAUGGUCUGCAUAACCUGGCUUAAGCCCGAUUCCUGUCCCGUUUGAGGGCUC